GAUGAAGAACGUAGCGAAAUGCGCUAAGUAAUGUGAAUUGCAGAAUUCAGUGAAUCAUCGAAUCUUUGAAUGCACCUUGCACCCUUUGGCAUUCUGAAGGGUAUGCUCGUUUGAGUGUCAUUGUACUCUCACACUCCCGAUCUUUGCAUUGGGAGCAGUGGACUUGGGUUUGCUGCUUCACCGUCGCUUACCUCAAAUAGGUUAGUGCACCUCUUGGUUGGACAUAGUACGGCGUGAUAAGUGUUCUUCGCCGGUGCCUCGCAAAGAGGGUGGCCGAUCGGGAUGUUUGUGCUCCAAACCGUCUUCGGACAAUCUCUGACGACUUGACCUCAAAUCGAGUAAGACUACCCGCUGAACUUAAGCAUAUCAAUAAGCGGAGGA
RNAcentral lists this unclassified non-coding RNA (381 nucleotides) under soil metagenome. Its description in RNAcentral is "partial contains 5.8S ribosomal RNA, internal transcribed spacer 2, and large subunit ribosomal RNA". The stretch from base 1 to 120 matches the Rfam family "5.8S ribosomal RNA", at positions 35 to 154 of the family's 154-position model. The record is from RNAcentral.